Molecule: ribosomal RNA, 109 nt
Filed under: Rhizophagus intraradices
Lineage: Eukaryota; Fungi; Glomeromycota; Glomeromycetes; Glomerales; Glomeraceae
Source: RNAcentral
CAGUCGUACAUGCGGGUAAUCAGCCUUUUGGGCAUGAUUCUGGUGGAGCGUGAGGAGUUAAACGCCUUCAUGCCUGCCAUAUUCGUGUACUUUGGGUAGUACUUGCCUG